ACAGAAACACCAACUGACCCUGAGACAAGGCUCGAACCAGCAACCUUUUAGUUGUGUGGCGACAGCACUACCUACUGCGCCACUGCUUCACCCCUUAAUUAAAGUCAUGUUUCUAUGAUGUAGCUUGAUAUAUUUACCUUCAGCCCACGGCUCUCAAUCAAGUUUGGUAUUUGACCCUCACCCUUUAUAACAAAAAAGUUUGGGCACCCCAGCUUUAAAUCUAUCUGUCAAAAUAUUUUCUUCUUCAGAGCAUGCGCACAAACGUCGCGUUUAAAGAAGCCACGAGCGCAGUAUUUUCAGACUAACCGAUCUUUUAAAAUGCAUGAAUGUGCAGAUACGUACUGACUAAAGGAGAGUGAAGCAUUAAUAGCUGAGCUGAAAUCUGAGGAGUGCUCUACGGAGCUCAGCGGAGCGGAUAACCUCAGUCAACCGACAAGCAUGAACACGUGUGCGGUUCGCAGCCUCACCUUAAAGCAGGUCAUUAUUUAAUGACUGUUUCUUCUGUCUGCACAAGAGCGCUGUUGUUCUACAUGGCAAGCACUAAAGCAGGGGACUAAAAGGACCAACGUUUUCUCAAACCACUAGAGGGCACUUUAACAAUGUAUGGCUCAAGUUCGUGUCUAUUUCUUAUUUUUUCUUUUCAUUUGAAUAUUGCCAAAGAACAAGCUUUCAUGUAUGGAGGUAGCAGGGAUUGUGUUAAAAAUGAUAUUUUCUGAUAUUCUACAUAGCUAUUUAACUUACAGUGUCCACUACAAUGUACAGUGGACUUCCAGUACUUAUCAGCGCUUAUGUACAGUGUUAUGAUUUGAGGAAGUUAUUUAGUUUUCACUGUUCUCUAUAUAGAAAAUUCAAAACAGCAAUAUUUUGAGAGUGUUUCGUGUGUAAAAUGUUUCAAUGAAUAUGUUGCAGCAACAGCUCUGACUACGACUACCAGAUUUUCCUGUAACUCGAGUCUUCCAACGGACUGUUUCUUAAUGAGAUCAACAACACAAAAAACCUCACAGGAUUUACUUCUGCCUCAUGAAUGAGUCCUUGGUGAAACACUGGACGCUGGGGAAGCACAGCAAAUACAGAGAGCGAGAGAGAGAGAGAGAAAGAGAAGGAGUCUAGAUCCUGAUGGAAAACAAGAACAGUCACAUAACAGUUUGUGGGCAUGUUGAGCUGCUUUCACUGCUUCACUGUAGCGACACACCAUUUCAGCUGAGACAAAAAUAGACAAACUGAAGUUUCCUUCGUGUUGAUUCAGUGACAGGUGGAUUCUGGGUAAUCUGUCGCACCAGCAGCACUUCAGGACACUCUAAAACUGGUUGGACGUGGACUGAAUCAGACUUUGACGGCUUCUCUUUGAACUGGAGACU
This is a non-coding RNA of Danio rerio (zebrafish), 1358 nucleotides long. The record is from RefSeq and is a predicted model, not a curated record. NCBI's taxonomy places the organism in Eukaryota, Metazoa, Chordata, Actinopteri, Cypriniformes, Danionidae.